UGAUAGACGUAGGCAUUGGCAUGGUAACGUUAGAUACACAGAAGAGGAGAGCGAGUGUAACGUUACAACCAAGACAGUCAAAAGCAACCCCGGAGUUUUAAAACUCAACCAGAGUCAGUGAUGACUGAUGAGUUAUAGAAUAAGGUUACAGUGCUAACGUUAGUUAGUAGCGUUAACGUUACUAGUAAGUGGAAACGCACAAGGAAGAUAACGUUAAUGUUUCAGAGGCUAUGCUACAGUAGGCUAACAGUAGCCAUUAGCAACUGGAUGCUGUGUUGUCAUAUAUAAUAUUAUGAACUGAACUGAACUUCAUUUGUCAUUUUUAUGCGCAUGUCUCAGUGAACACAAGGACGCAGCAGUCCCUCACUCCUCGGCGAGUGGAUCUCCACAGUCAGAUGUAAUCCAUUUUUGUGUCCAGCGAGCGGAUGUUCUCCAGAAGGCCACUGGGAACAGCUGGUUUGAUGGGGUUAGCUUUUAGCCAAGAGCUAACCCCUCCGCGCUCCCCCUGCUCCCGUGUCCUGUCGCAGCGCUGCCCGGUGUUACUUAAAAUCUAUUUUGACCUCACUCAGACAGUCACCACUGUCUUCACCUUGAAUGAUGCCAUACUACUACCUAUCCUCGAGACCUUAUAUCAACAAAGUCACGUGACUGACCUUAGGAGGCUUGACUCGUAGUCUGUUAGAGUAUCCAAGUGACACUGCCUCCUCCUCUUUGCCUUACUCGCCUCAUCCGAGACCGUGCCUUUCCAGGUGAGGACUGCUCCAGAGUGAGCUUGGUAGCGGCUAGCAGCAGCGCUGGGUCAACGUGGCGGCACCAGCACCUCUGGGUGUGGCUGUGUUUUCAGCUGCUGCUGGACGGAGUUGUGACGGUGUGGUGUCCUCCGUUCUUCAAGACCCUGAUGGUAUGGUAUGGUAUCCAAGGUGAAGACCAUGGUGACGGUCUGAGUGAGGUCGAAAUAGAUCGUAAGUUAUACCUAUAACUAUGGAUCUAUGAGACUGAACGAUGAUCGUCACCAUUCUCUUGUCGUGCAGAACAGGCUGAGGCUUUCCAGGCAAGAGGAGGAGGCAGUGUCACCCGGAUACUCUUAUAGACUACGAGUCAAGCCUCCUAAGGGCAGGAUGGGUUGAUCCAUUAUGCAUCUGCUGGCCUUUCUGACCUGUCAUGUCCCAGGUAUGGCACUGUAUGUUCAUCAGCUUUUCAUCAACACACCAUGGCUGCUGACACCUGUUCUGAGACAGGAUCAUCAGAUGAGAAGAGAAGGGCAGUACACUGUUCCCUCAAAUCACAACUGCCCCUGGAUUGUGUGGUUGUGUUGCUGCCGUGGUCCUGCCUGAUGCCUCCUACUACUGCUGUUAUUAUUCAUCAUGCUUCUACUAUUAUUAUACACAUAUGAUUAUUGUCACAUACAUAUACAAACAUAUAUUAAAAUAUACUCA
Long non-coding RNA from Epinephelus moara (kelp grouper), 1436 nucleotides. RefSeq lists it as uncharacterized. The transcript has 6 exons. NCBI's taxonomy places the organism in Eukaryota, Metazoa, Chordata, Actinopteri, Perciformes, Serranidae. The record is from RefSeq and is a predicted model, not a curated record.